Pelobates cultripes (western spadefoot toad) is the source of this 222-nucleotide non-coding RNA. Lineage: Eukaryota; Metazoa; Chordata; Amphibia; Anura; Pelobatidae. The record is from the annotation of a GenBank genome assembly.
GUACAUAUUUCCCUAUUAGCCUUAUAUUGUGGUGUAGCUGAUUACACUUAGGGAGUACUAGUCAGCAAUUCACUAAUAAAGUGAAACAGGCUGGGUGGGCGUAAAAAUAAAUUGCCAGGGUGGCGAUAGUUGGGUCGGUGCGGGGGGCUCCAUUACAGGUUGUCAAAAUGUCGCAUACUAGAGGCUUACUUGCAUGCUAGAUUUACCCCUAACCUAAGGGAG